Molecule: RNA transcript, 2586 nt
Organism: Solanum stenotomum
Lineage: Eukaryota; Viridiplantae; Streptophyta; Magnoliopsida; Solanales; Solanaceae
Gene name: F-box protein At5g03100-like
Exons: 5
Source: RefSeq, a predicted model, not a curated record
CAUAUAAACCGCCAUUACCAAAACUGCAAUUGAAGAUUCUCUAUACUCCCUGGAAAUGCACAAGAAAAUGAUGGCGGCGGCCGGAGGAGGAGACCGGCUGACUGAUCUGCCGGAGGAGAUUCUACUCUACAUCCUCUCUAUGUUACCAAACAGUAGACAAGUUGUUCGAACCAGCGUAUUAUCAUCGCAAUGGCAAUUUCUUUGGAAAUCCGUUUCAGCAUCACUCGAUUUCAACUCAGAAGAUUAUUGUAAACCUUACAAAAAAAUAUAUAUUCUCGAUUACGCAGCUUCUGUUAAUAGAGAGCUUCAUUAUUGGAGGUCUUGCGAGAAAAUCAAAUCAUUUAGGGUUUUUCCUUAUAGCUACCAGGAUUUUAUUGCUCAUGAUGUUGAUUUGUGGGUGCACUUUGCUGUUAAUAUUGGUAAGGUUGAAGAGUUUACGUUGAAAUUUUGUUAUUUUGAUUCUCUAGAUUUUGCGUAUAAAUUUCCUGAAUUCGCGUAUACGAAUACGGUUUUGAGGAAUUUGGUGUUAGGAUUUUGCCGGUUGAGACCUUCUGGUAAUGUGAAAUGGAGUAAUUUGGUUUCUCUUUCGAUUGGGGAUGCGGGCAUGACAGAGGGUGUAAUGGAAAAAAUAUUAUCAGGUUGUCCUAAUUUGGAGUGCUUGGAAUUAGAUAAAGUUGUUGGUAUUCGUCGUCUGGAAAUCAGCUCUGUGAAGCUGAGAAAAUUGAUUGUAACGAUUUAUGAAACAGAAUCUGCUGAUGAUGAUCAAGACUAUUGCGUCGAAAUUCAUGCCCCACAUAUUCGACAUUUAGAACUUUCGGGAUUGUGUUACGAUAAGAUACACUUUCAGCUGAGAAAUGUGGCUUCACUUGUCACUGCAGUCCUUUCUUUAAAUGUUUAUUUUUUCGACCUUGAAGAGAAUUUGGAGAAGGAGUGUAGAUAUUUGCAGGAACUUCUUCACCACGUUGCCAAUGUCAAGAAUCUUGAAUUGGGUCCCUGGUGCAUCGAGUGCCUGUCCAUACUGGAGUUUAAAGGGUGGCAUGUUCCACCAUCAAGCUGGAAAUUCUUAAAACUUAACGCAGCCUUAGAACAGUACGACUAUCCUGGAAUUUGCAGCUUUCUAUCGAGUUCAUCAGGUCUUGAGACAUUGGUCAUUGACUGGUGCCAUCCUAAACCAAGAGAAUUACUGUCAAUGUACACAAAUGAGGAUGAACGACGGAGGAGAUUUGAAACACAUAGUUUUAACUGUUCAUUGCCCCAUCUAAAGUUCUUCAAGUUCAUUAACUUUUAUGGAAAACCAAGUGAAAAAAAGUUUGUACACCCAUUGAUCAAAUGUUUGUGCAAGAAUGCGACAGCACUAAAGAAGUCUGUCAUUGCUUGCAACUUCAGAAGGAGAGAUGUGUUUUGGAAUUAUGUCGUCAGGAGGUCCUAAGCUUUCCAAGAUCCUGUCCGCAAGCUUCAGUUGUCUUUCCUUGUUGAUAAUCUUACGCCAUUCUCUUUUGUUGUGAUCGCAACAUACGUAACAACCUUUUACUUUUGGUUUGAAGCUGGUUUAUAGUUGAUAGACGAGAUUUGGAUUCUAGUUAUCAGUAUCCAAUACAAAAUAGCUGUUUGUAGUUUUUUAAUGUCUAAGCACAAUGCAUUUUUUCUUUGAUAAUCAUGUAAGAAAGCUUGAUCUAAGGUUGAAUGUCAUUUUGCAGAAAUUGUAUUUCUUGAUUCAUUACGACUCAAUGGGCUUGCUUCUUUCGACAUGUGUUAUUUUUUUGAGCAAAAUUGAGAACCUGCCACUUGAAGAAAAUCAUGCAUUGGCAAGAUGUUAUAGAAUUAAGACAUGGGCUAACUGUUGAUUACUAUAUUGUGAUACUGAUAUGAGAUGGUUUACUAGAAAAAGUGUGCAUAUGUCUAUGUUACAUUGAGCUAAGGUUCUUGUAAAGAUGGAACUCCCUACAUCAGCUGUUCCUUCAACAGAUCAUUCUUAUCUUUUAUUUCAGCUUGCAAAUGUGCAAUGUCUUUGUGAUGGUUUAUCUGCUAUCGUUGCCCAUACCUCAUGGUCAGCCCCAUGGACAGAGGGAUGAACCUCACAAUUAUACCACUGUUCCAAAUUAUUCAGAGUAAAAUCAUUGGUUCAGAAGCUACUUUUACUUGGACUUGAAAGCUCUGGAACAAGCAUCAUCAGGUACCAGCUAAUUAGAGUAAAGGCCAACGGAAUGGAUGAAGGAUGCUACUGAAUGGAGAUGUUUGAAGAUGUUGGCGUUGCGGUAUUUUGUAUGGCCCUGAUGCAUGUCAAAGAACAAUCUGAAAAAAUGGCCAGACAUCCCUGUUUCAAAGAGACCUCAUCAUUUGUUUUAAUCUCGAACAAGAAUGAUCUUUUCGAGCAGAAGAUCAUUUGUGUACCACUGGGCUCUUGCAAGUGGUUCAGCGAUUUCAGUCCAGUGCAGACUCACCAUAGUAACCAGUCACUAGCAAAACAAAACAUAUUACUAUGUCACCAUGUAGUUUAAAGACCUCUAUGUUUGUGGCAAGAGACUGUACAACUGAUGUUUAGCUCUUCUCUAUUUAUCUAUUAAAAUAUUAAGUGUAUAUCUUAGU